GGCGGCAGGCCUAACACAUGCAAGUCGAGCGGUAACUAUUUACAAAAGCUUGUCUUUUGGAGAUGACGAGCGGCGGACGGGUGAGUAAUGCCUGGGAAAUUGCCCUGAUGGUGGGGGAUAACCAUUGGAAACGAUGGCUAAUACCGCAUAGUAGCCUCGGCUUAAAGAGGGGGGGGACCUUAGGGGCCUCUCGCGUCAGGAUAUGCCCCAGGUGGGAUUAGCUAGUUGGUGAGGUAAAGGCUCACCAAGGCGACGAUCCCUAGCUGGUCUGAGAGGAUGAUCAGCCACACUGGAACUGAGACACGGUCCAGACUCCUACGGGAGGCAGCAGUGGGGAAUAUUGCACAAUGGGCGCAAGCCUGAUGCAGCCAUGCCGCGUGUGUGAAGAAGGCCUUCGGGUUGUAAAGCACUUUCAGUCGUGAGGAAGGGUGUGUAUUUAAUAGAUGCGCACUUUGACGUUAGCGACAGAAGAAGCACCGGCUAACUCCGUG
Molecule: ribosomal RNA, 491 nt
Filed under: uncultured bacterium
Lineage: Bacteria
Description: bacterial SSU rRNA
Rfam family: Bacterial small subunit ribosomal RNA
Source: RNAcentral